Molecule: long non-coding RNA, 374 nt
Filed under: Nicotiana benthamiana
Lineage: Eukaryota; Viridiplantae; Streptophyta; Magnoliopsida; Solanales; Solanaceae
Description: long non-coding RNA (NBEN_LNC037457)
Source: RNAcentral
UACACCACAUUCACCUCCCCCAUCUGUCCCAUAUAGACGGCUUGACCAGUCGGGCUUCCAAGGUUGAAGUGGCCAAUCAUAUUCAUGGUUGCCAAUGCAUACAUGGUACGGAAUUCUGGAUGCAAGAGGUUAUACCUGAGAAAAAAAGUUAUCCCACAACCAAGAGUAUCCUCUUGCAUAGCUGAUGUCUCCAAUAUGUGAGAUAAGAGCAGGCUGGAACUCUGGAUGCAAGAGGUUCUACCUGAGAAAAAAAGUUAUCCCACAACCAAGAGUAUCCUCUUGCAUAGCUGAUAUCUCCAAUAUGCGAGAUAAGAGCAGGCUUAUCACCAAGAGCUUCAAUAUCACGGCUAAUCCACUUAAUGGUAGAUGAACUU